AGAGUUUGAUCAUGGCUCAGAACGUACGCUGGCGGCACGCCUAAUACAUGCAAGUCGAACGAAGUAGCAAUACUUAGUGGCAGACGGGUGAGUAACAUGUAGGUAUCUACCCUUUGGCCUGGAAUAACACGAGGAAACUUGUGCUAAUACCGGAUAAGUCUUUACGGAGAAAGCUUUAUGCACCAUUGGAUGAGCCUGCACUUGAUUAGUUUGUUGGUGGGGUAAUGGCCUACCAAGACAAUGAUCAAUAGCUGAUUUGAGAGGAUGAUCAGCCACAUUGGGACUGAGACACGGCCCAAACUCCUACGGGAGGCAGCAGUAGGGAAUCUUGCACAAUGGGGGAAACCCUGAUGCAGCGAUGCCGCGUGAGUGAAGAAGGCCUUUGGGUUGUAAAGCUCUUUCGUCGGGGAAGAAAAUGACUGUACCCGAAUAAGAAGGUCCGGCUAACUUCGUGCCAGCAGCCGCGGUAAUACGAAGGGACCUAGCGUAGUUCGGAAUUACUGGGCUUAAAGAGUUCGUAGGUGGUUAAAAUAGUUGGUGGUGAAAUCCCAGAGCUUAACUCUGGAACUGCCAUCAAAACUUUUUAACUAGAGUAUGAUAGAGGUAAGCGGAAUUUCUAGUGUAGAGGUGAAAUUCGUAGAUAUUAGAAAGAACACCAAUUGCGAAGGCAGCUUUCUGGAUCAUUACUGACACUGAGGAGCGAAAGCAUGGGUAGCGAAGAGGAUUAGAUACCCUCGUAGUCCAUGCCGUAAACGAUGUGUGCUAGACGUUGGGAAUUUAUUUUUCAGUGUCGCAGCAAAAGCGUUAAGCACACCGCCUGGGGAGUACGACCGCAAGGUUAAAACUCAAAUGAAUUGACGGGGACCCGCACAAGUAGUGGAGCAUGUGGUUUAAUUCGAAGAUACGCGCAGAACCUUACCAACACUUGACAUGUUCGUCGCGACUCUAAGAGAUUAGAGUUUUCGGUUCGGCCGGACGAAACACAGGUGCUGCAUGGCUGUCGUCAGCUCGUGUCGUGAGAUGUUGGGUUAAGUCCCGCAACGAGCGCAACCCUUACUUUUAGUUGCCACCAUUUAGUUGAGCACUCUGAAAGAACUGCCAGUGAUAAGCUGGAGGAAGGUGGGGAUGACGUCAAGUCCUCAUGGCCCUUACGUGUUGGGCUACACACGUGCUACAAUGGCACUCACAAUAGGAAGCAAAGAGGCGACUCUAAGCAAAUCCUAAAAAAGUGCCUCAGUUCGGAUUGUACUCUGCAACUCGAGUACAUGAAGCUGGAAUUGCUAGUAAUCGCGGAUCAGCGCGCCGCGGUGAAUACGUUCCCGGGUCUUGUACACACCGCCCGUCACACCAUGGAAGUUGGUUCUACUUUAAGGCAAAGCAUAAAACCUUUGACUACGGUAUAGUCAGCGACUGGGGUGAAGUCGUAACAAGGUAGCC
RNAcentral lists this ribosomal RNA (1437 nucleotides) under uncultured bacterium. Its description in RNAcentral is "bacterial SSU rRNA". It matches the Rfam family "Bacterial small subunit ribosomal RNA". The record is from RNAcentral.